RNAcentral lists this ribosomal RNA (455 nucleotides) under uncultured bacterium. RNAcentral's name for it is "bacterial SSU rRNA". It matches the Rfam family "Bacterial small subunit ribosomal RNA", at positions 29 to 528 of the family's 1533-position model. The record is from RNAcentral.
AACGAACGCUGGCGGCAUGCCUAACACAUGCAAGUCGAACGAGACCUUCGGGUCUAGUGGCGCACGGGUGCGUAACGCGUGGGAACCUGCCUUUAGGUUCGGAAUAACUCAGAGAAAUUUGAGCUAAUACCGGAUAAUGUCUUCGGACCAAAGAUUUAUCGCCUUUAGAUGGGCCCGCGUUGGAUUAGCUAGUUGGUGGGGUAAAGGCCUACCAAGGCGACGAUCCAUAGCUGGUCUGAGAGGAUGAUCAGCCACACUGGGACUGAGACACGGCCCAGACUCCUACGGGAGGCAGCAGUGGGGAAUAUUGGACAAUGGGCGAAAGCCUGAUCCAGCAAAUGCCGCGUGAGUGAUGAAGGCCUUCGGGUUGUAAAGGCUCUUUACUCGGGACGAUAAUGACGGUACCGGAGAGAAUAAGACACCGGCUAACUACGUGCCAGCAGCCGCGGUAACGU